GAUGAAGAACGCAGCGAAAUGCGAUAAGUAGUGUGAAUUGCAGAAUUCAGUGAAUCAUCGAAUCUUUGAACGCACAUUGCGCCCUUUGGUAUUCCAAAGGGCAUGCCUGUUCGAGCGUCAUUUGUACCCUCAAGCUUUGCUUGGUGUUGGGCGUCUUGUCUCCAGUUCGCUGGAGACUCGCCUUAAAGUAAUUGGCAGCCGGCCUACUGGUUUCGGAGCGCAGUACAUCUCGCGCUUUGCACUCAUAACGACAGCGUCCAAAAGUACAUUUUACACUCUUGACCUCGGAUCAGGUAGGGAUACCCGCUGAACUUAAGCAUAUCAAUAAGCGGAGGA
Molecule: unclassified non-coding RNA, 336 nt
Filed under: soil metagenome
Description: partial contains 5.8S ribosomal RNA, internal transcribed spacer 2, and large subunit ribosomal RNA
Rfam family: 5.8S ribosomal RNA (bases 1-120)
Source: RNAcentral